Molecule: long non-coding RNA, 247 nt
Filed under: Elaeis guineensis (African oil palm)
Lineage: Eukaryota; Viridiplantae; Streptophyta; Magnoliopsida; Arecales; Arecaceae
Description: long non-coding RNA (EGUI_LNC015192)
Source: RNAcentral
UUAUUGUUAUCUGUCACGAUGUAAAAUCUAAAUAGUUGCUAGUCUUUCUAGACUGGUGUGUGGCUCGCCACAACUAUAGCUGAUCUGGUGGAUGACCUAGCUGAUAUAUUUACAAUAAGUAAAUAAUAAAAUUAAAUUAAUUAAAGCAUGCACAUAACAGUUUAUAUAGUUCCAGUGAAGAGUUUUGGUAUAAAUUUCUUACCAGUUUGUCGAUCACAAUAUGUGUGCCGAUCGAGCCAUCCGUGUG